RNAcentral lists this ribosomal RNA (253 nucleotides) under uncultured bacterium. Its description in RNAcentral is "partial 16S ribosomal RNA". It matches the Rfam family "Bacterial small subunit ribosomal RNA", at positions 524 to 776 of the family's 1533-position model. The record is from RNAcentral.
UACGUAGGGCGCAAGCGUUGUCCGGAACUAUUGGGCGUAAAGAGCUCGUAGGCGGCUUGUCACGUCGAUUGUGAAAGCCCGAGGCUUAACCUCGGGUCUGCAGUCGAUACGGGCUAGCUAGAGUGUGGUAGGGGAGAUCGGAAUUCCUGGUGUAGCGGUGAAAUGCGCAGAUAUCAGGAGGAACACCGGUGGCGAAGGCGGAUCUCUGGGCCAUUACUGACGCUGAGGUGCGAAAGCGUGGGGAGCAAACAGG